CACGAAACCAGGCGAGCUACUGUGGGGCGUAUAUUAGUACAAAAUAUGUAGCAUAAUAAUAGUAGAUACCACAGUAGGAGUGAUAGGCUGUCAAGUCUGGUGAUAUCUUGUUAACUUUGAGAUGUAUUAAGUACGCAGUCGAUUUAUGAGUGACAAGGCUGAUAAAAAUUAUGUAAAUUGGUGGCAUAUAGUUACGUAGUUUAAACGCUAGUAACCUCUUGUAAUUAACAUUUAUGAUAAUGGCUAAUAGACAGUAAAAGUUACUUAUUUAACUAUAAAAAAUAUUUAUACUGUUAAUAUUAGUAGUUAAGGUGCCACUGAUGAACUCGGCAAUAUUUCUUUCACCUGUUUAUCAAAAACAUCGCCAGAAGUAGGUAUUACUGGUCUGUUCUGCUCAAUGUGCAUAUAAAUAGCCGCAGUACCCUGACUGUGCAAAGGUAGCAUAAUCAUUUGGCUUAUAAUUGAAGUCUCGUAUGAAUGAAUACAUGGGAGAAAGCUCUAUUGGUGGCAUAAUCCGAAUUUUCUUAGUGGGUGCAAAUCCCCACGACAAAAUAAUAGACGAGAAGACCCUAGAAAUUUUUACAAAUCGACCCAAGUAGUUUUUGUUGGGGCAACAUAGUAGCACAUAAUCUACAAUAACGACAAGACAAAUUAUAGUCAGACUAAAUUACUCUAGGGAUAACAGCGUAAUUCUAGAGAGUUUGCGACCUCGAUGUUGGACUAGGACGCAGAUGCUUAGAA
RNAcentral lists this ribosomal RNA (741 nucleotides) under Amplirhagada sp.'Backsten Ck'. RNAcentral describes it as "partial 16S ribosomal RNA". The record is from RNAcentral. Lineage: Eukaryota; Metazoa; Mollusca; Gastropoda; Stylommatophora; Camaenidae.